This 1930-nucleotide long non-coding RNA is filed under the name Struthio camelus australis. RNAcentral describes it as "lncRNA (ENSSCUG00000010658.1)". Lineage: Eukaryota; Metazoa; Chordata; Aves; Struthioniformes; Struthionidae. The record is from RNAcentral.
GCAGAUGUUAUUUUUGUGAACUGUCACCAUGUAUUUUGACUUAGAUGAGAAGUAGGCUGAUUCUGUGUGCAUUCGUGGAUACAUACACUGCUAAAAUAUGCAGAGCACCAAAUUGCCACAUAAUACAAUGCAUAACGGAGCACCAGUUAGGAUCUUAGAAUAGCUAGCUGUUUUCUCAGGAAUAUUAGGUUUCUUUUUAUUGCUCAUUAGCAGGCAAAUAAAUUAUCUUUGAGGUCUGCAUUUUUUUUGAUGUGUGGUUAUGCAUCACUGACAGUUCUCCAUGAGGACACACAUGCUGAAAAAAAUCAACUUGAAAGGAGGAAGGGAAGUUGCAAUUACCAAGUCUAGCAGGACAAGCGCUAGUCGAAAUGUAAGAGAUGUCUAGUAGAGGACCCCAAUGAAGUAGCACAUAGGUAUAUUUGCGUUUCUCCUUCCUGGGGAUAGCCUCUCUGCAAUUAUAAGGAAAUAUGACAAGCAGCAGUGCCUGUGCAGACAGCAGCAGAAGAAAGGCACCACUAGGGAUUAGCUAGCCCGAAGCUGCAGCCAGAGCACAGCUGGCUCAGCCUCAAAAUUAAGUGCCUUCAGUCAGGUGGGUAAAGGGAAUCAUCCCCGAAGUGUGGCAGAGCACACUAAAAGGGACUCCAAUGCAUAGACUGGUUGGUUGUUUUUUAAUCUGACACUGCGUAUUACUGGGACAGCCCAGGAUUUCCUGACUGCACUGAAUUCCUCCGUAAAAGGACAGAACAGCCUGCUGUUGGGCAAGUGCAGCUCGAUCCGCUUGCUUUCUCUUAGUGAAGAAGCCAGGAAAUCUGCAAUCCGUUCAACACUAGGAAGUUACUUCAGGUGCAGGAGGAGCUCGGAAGCCCUGAGGAUGCAGAAGUGCCUUGGUGCUGCAGACAACCACCACCCUCCUGCCCUGGGAACCACUGCCCCAUCUGCACGCUGCCUCACUGUUGCUGGCCUUCCAAUGACCUUGUCUCCACCACAGCCCCAAAGCACUACCCAAGUGAAAACAGACCUGCAGGACGCUGCCGCAAUCUACUAUUGUGCUACACACCUACAUGAGACCUCAGGUGUUUGCUAGGGAACCAGAUAAGAGCUACUGAAAAACUAUUGCUAGCAGUAUCCAAAAAAAAAAAACCUAAAAAACAACAAAAAUAACUUUUUAUCUGUAAUUUUAAAAUAUAGGAUUAAAAGGGACUUUCCAAGUCAUCAAGUCCUGCCUCUUAUUGUCAAAGACAAGCAUGCUAUGCAUGUAGAUAUAUCAACUGUUAUCUUAAUUUAAGUUAGGCUUAUCCUUUGUAUUCUUAUGCUUGCAAUAGGAAUCUAUUGGAAAGAUGUUCUAGGGCAUCACUUCUCCCCUGUACCCCUACUCCUGAUCAAUACUUAAAUUUACAGGCAAUUUUUCUUGCUAACAUUUCAUAGUGAAUCUUAUGAUAACUGGAGUUUGCUGAGGUGUGAAACUUUGUUUUCAGGCUCUCCACAAGCACAUUUCAGCUUUCAUUUAAAAAGAAUUGCUUUUAGUCUUUAUGGUUGUGUGAUGUUUGAAAACAUCAAAUCAUCUGCCAGAUCAGAGGUACAUAAAAAAAGAACGCUGAAAAAUUAUUUUAGGAAAAACAUUUUUGAGGAGGGUCUGCAUAAAUGAUAUUUAAUUGAUAAAGAGGAUAAUGCCUUAAGCUGCUCUGUAACUUGUACCUGACUUUUGAAAGGAUAGCAAAUUAAGCAGAAAUGAAAGAAAGCUUAAGAGACUGUUCUAGAAGACAAAGACCAACUAGUUCUCUGGAGAAAAAGGCAAACAACAGUGGUAGUCUUGCACAAAGAGCUAUCAAACCAUCUCCUGCAUUUUGAAGAAUCCAUCUGAAUUCAGACCAACUUUCUACCUGGAUUCUGAAUUUCUAUACUUACUAAAUAAAACCUAAUUCAAGAAACA